GAUGAACGCUGGCGGCGUGCCUAAUACAUGCCAGUCGAGCGAACAGACGAGGAGCUUGCUCCUCUGACGUUAGCGGCGGACGGGUGAGUAACACGUGGAUAACCUACCUAUAAGACUGGGAUAACUUCGGGAAACCGGAGCUAAUACCGGAUAAUAUAUUGAACCGCAUGGUUCAAUAGUGAAAGACGGUUUUGCUGUCACUUAUAGAUGGAUCCGCGCCGCAUUAGCUAGUUGGUAAGGUAACGGCUUACCAAGGCAACGAUGCGUAGCCGACCUGAGAGGGUGAUAGGCGACACUGGAACUGAGACACGGUCCAGACUCCUACGGGAGGCAGCAGUAGGGAAUCUGCCGCAAUGGGCGAAAGCCUGACGGAGCAACGCCGAGUGAGUGAUGAAGGUCUUCGGAUCGUAAAACUCUGUUAUUAGGGAAGAACAAAUGUGUAAGUAACUAUGCACGUCGUGACGGUACCUAAUCAGAAAGCCACGGCUAACUACGUG
RNAcentral lists this ribosomal RNA (497 nucleotides) under uncultured bacterium. RNAcentral's name for it is "partial 16S ribosomal RNA". It matches the Rfam family "Bacterial small subunit ribosomal RNA", at positions 28 to 507 of the family's 1533-position model. The record is from RNAcentral.